Molecule: ribosomal RNA, 253 nt
Filed under: uncultured bacterium
Lineage: Bacteria
Description: partial 16S ribosomal RNA
Rfam family: Bacterial small subunit ribosomal RNA
Source: RNAcentral
UACGUAGGGUGCGAGCGUUAAUCGGAAUUACUGGGCGUAAAGCGUGCGCAGGCGGCUUUGCAAGACAGAUGUGAAAUCCCCGGGCUCAACCUGGGAACUGCAUUUGUGACUGCAAGGCUAGAGUACGGCAGAGGGGGAUGGAAUUCCGCGUGUAGCAGUGAAAUGCGUAGAUAUGCGGAGGAACACCAAUGGCGAAGGCAAUCCCCUGGGCCUGUACUGACGCUCAUGCACGAAAGCAUGGGGAGCAAACAGG